CCUACGGGAGGCAGCAGUAGGGAAUCUUCCACAAUGGGCGAAAGCCUGAUGGAGCAACGCCGCGUGGGUGAAGAAGGUCUUCGGAUCGUAAAACCCUGUUGUUAGAGAAGAAAGUGCGUGAGAGUAACUGUUCACGUUUCGACGGUAUCUAACCAGAAAGCCACGGCUAACUACGUGACAGCAGCCGCGGUAAUACGUAGGUGGCAAGCUUUAUCCGGAUUUAUUGGGCGUAAAGGGAGCGCAGGCGGUCUUUUAAGUCUGAUGUGAAAGCCUUCGGCUUAACCGGAGUAGUGCAUUGGAAACUGGGAGACUUGAGUGCAGAAGAGGAGAGUGGAAUUCCAUGUGUAGCGGUGAAAUGCGUAGAUAUAUGGAAGAACACCAGUGGCGAAAGCGGCUCUCUGGUCUGUAACUGACGCUGAGGUUCGAAAGCGUGGGUAGCAAACAGGAUUAGAUACCCCAGUAGUC
RNAcentral lists this ribosomal RNA (465 nucleotides) under uncultured bacterium. Its description in RNAcentral is "partial 16S ribosomal RNA". It matches the Rfam family "Bacterial small subunit ribosomal RNA", at positions 338 to 795 of the family's 1533-position model. The record is from RNAcentral.